Molecule: ribosomal RNA, 253 nt
Filed under: uncultured bacterium
Lineage: Bacteria
Description: partial 16S ribosomal RNA
Rfam family: Bacterial small subunit ribosomal RNA
Source: RNAcentral
UACGAAGGGGGCUAGCGUUGUUCGGAAUUACUGGGCGUAAAGCGCAUGUAGGCGGAUAUUUAAGUCAGGGGUGAAAUCCCGCAGCUCAACUGCGGAACUGCCUUUGAUACUGGGUAUCUUGAGUAUGGAAGAGGUGAGUGGAAUUUCGAGUGUAGAGGUGAAAUUCGUAGAUAUUCGGAGGAACACCAGUGGCGAAGGCGGCUCACUGGUCCAUUACUGACGCUGAGGUGCGAAAGCGUGGGGAGCAAACAGG